GUGGAUUAGAUACCCUGGUAGUCCACGCCGUAAACUAUGGGUGCUAGCCGUCGGGGAGCAUGCUCUUCGGUGGCGCAGCAAACGCAUUAAGCACCCCGCCUGGGGAGUACGGUCGCAAGAUUAAAACUCAAAGGAAUUGACGGGGGCCCGCACAAGCGGUGGAGCAUGUGGUUUAAUUCGAGGCAACGCGAAGAACCUUACCAGCCCUUGACUUCCCGAUCGGGGGACCAGAGAUGGACCUCUUCAAUUGGUCGGUGACAGGUGCUGCAUGGCUGUCGACAGCU
RNAcentral lists this ribosomal RNA (284 nucleotides) under uncultured bacterium. RNAcentral describes it as "partial 16S ribosomal RNA". It matches the Rfam family "Bacterial small subunit ribosomal RNA", at positions 773 to 1060 of the family's 1533-position model. The record is from RNAcentral.